This 301-nucleotide ribosomal RNA is filed under the name uncultured bacterium. Its description in RNAcentral is "partial 16S ribosomal RNA". It matches the Rfam family "Bacterial small subunit ribosomal RNA", at positions 509 to 807 of the family's 1533-position model. The record is from RNAcentral.
CAGCCGCCGCGGGAAUACGAAGGGGGCUAGCGUUGCUCGGAAUGACUGGGCGUAAAGGGCGCGUAGGCGGCGAUCAAAGUCAGGCGUGAAAUUCCUGGGCUCAACCUGGGGGCUGCGUUUGAUACUUGAUUGCUAGAGUGGGGAAGAGGGUCGUGGAAUUCCCAGUGUAGAGGUGAAAUUCGUAGAUAUUGGGAAGAACACCGGUGGCGAAGGCGGCGACCUGGUCCUUGACUGACGCUGAGGCGCGAAAGCGUGGGGAGCAAACAGGAUUAGAUACCCCAGUAGUCCCUGUCUCUUAUAC